UGGGGAAUAUUGCACAAUGGGCGCAAGCCUGAUGCAGCCAUGCCGCGUGUGUGAAGAAGGCCUUCGGGUUGUAAAGCACUUUCAGCGAGGAGGAAGGUGGUGAGCUUAAUACGCUCAUCAAUUGACGUUACUCGCAGAAGAAGCACCGGCUAACUCCGUGCCAGCAGCCGCGGUAAUACGGAGGGUGCAAGCGUUAAUCGGAAUUACUGGGCGUAAAGCGCACGCAGGCGGUUUGUUAAGUCAGAUGUGAAAUCCCCGGGCUCAACCUGGGAACUGCAUUUGAAACUGGCAAGCUAGAGUCUCGUAGAGGGGGUAGAAUUCCAGGUGUAGCGGUGAAAUGCGUAGAGAUCUGGAGGAAUACCGGUGGCGAAGGCGGCCCCCUGGACGAAGACUGACGCUCAGGUGCGAAAGCGUGGGGCAGCAAACAGGAUUAGAUACCCUGGUAGUCCACGCUGUAAACGAUGUCGAUUUUGGAGGUUGUGCCCUUGAGGCGUGGCUUCCGGAGCUAACGCGUUAAAUCGACCGCCUGGGGAGUACGGCCGCAAGGUUAAAACUCAAAUGAAUUGAC
This 568-nucleotide ribosomal RNA is filed under the name uncultured bacterium. Its description in RNAcentral is "partial 16S ribosomal RNA". It matches the Rfam family "Bacterial small subunit ribosomal RNA", at positions 355 to 914 of the family's 1533-position model. The record is from RNAcentral.